RNAcentral lists this ribosomal RNA (275 nucleotides) under uncultured bacterium. RNAcentral's name for it is "partial 16S ribosomal RNA". It matches the Rfam family "Bacterial small subunit ribosomal RNA", at positions 399 to 691 of the family's 1533-position model. The record is from RNAcentral.
GCGUGAGUGAAGAAGGCCCUAGGGUUGUAAAGCUCUUUCAGUCGUGAAGAUGGUGACUGUAGCGACAGAAGAAGCCCCGGCUAACUCCGUGCCAGCAGCCGCGGUAAUACGGAGGGGGCUAGCGUUGUUCGGAUUUACUGGGCGUAAAGCGCACGUAGGCGGAUCGAUCAGUCAGGGGUGAAAGGCCUGGGCUCAACCUAGGAACUGCCUUUGAUACUAUUGAUCUAGAGUCCGGGAGAGGUGAGCGGAAUUCCAAGUGUAGAGGUGAAAUUCGU